AUUCAUUGAAACAAAAGAAAAAAAAAAAAAAACAAACCCAAAGGAAGUUCUGAUUUCUACGUUAGAGAGAGAGAGAGAGAGAGAGAGAGAGAGAGAGAGAGCAGCGUGGAAGAAGAAGGGGAAAAGAAGAAGAAAUUGGGGUUAGGUUGAUUGAAGCUCAAUUAGGUAACAAGCCGGUCAAAUAGGAGGUGCCGAAACCGUAAGUUUGGUGUAUAACUCGGUCGAUGCAAAGGUAGCAGGUUGCGUAGAGUGGGUCCACUACCGGUCAACGUGUUGAGAAGUGUUUGGGCUAGCGUCAGAUGAUGUGGAUAAGCGAGUUGGUUGUAGGUAGUGAACUAAAAAGUUAAUUUAUAUAAGUAAAAAAUAUGUUGUUGGUGGAUGUGUUGAAGUUUAGAAUUUUUAAAGUAUUGUAAAACUAUAUUGUGAUUUAGUUGUGCGAGGUCCUGGUUGGUUGGUCGAUACGUCGACUCAUUUUUAUGUUAAGGUGAUAAGUCUUCCGCUGGGUGUUAUUCUGA
Rhododendron vialii is the source of this 515-nucleotide long non-coding RNA. RefSeq lists it as uncharacterized. The transcript has 3 exons. Lineage: Eukaryota; Viridiplantae; Streptophyta; Magnoliopsida; Ericales; Ericaceae. The record is from RefSeq and is a predicted model, not a curated record.